Molecule: long non-coding RNA, 228 nt
Filed under: Lathyrus oleraceus (garden pea)
Lineage: Eukaryota; Viridiplantae; Streptophyta; Magnoliopsida; Fabales; Fabaceae
Description: Pisum sativum (pea) long non-coding RNA (PSAT_LNC026413)
Source: RNAcentral
CCAUUACUGUCUAAGACAAAGCAUUGAAACCCAUCAAAAAUAGAAUUUAGUAAGGGGAUCUGUUAUAACACGCUACUUCCCAAUUCAAAUAAAUAAAUAAAUAAAAUAUAAAUAAUUAAACCAAUUAGGAUGUCACAUCCACAUAAUUUGAAGUUUAAAAGUUUACUUCAACUCAUAUAAAUCACAUUGUUACAGCAUAAUUUAAAAAAAAAAUGUUCGACAUCCAAA